Molecule: ribosomal RNA, 404 nt
Filed under: Actinomycetes bacterium
Lineage: Bacteria; Bacillati; Actinomycetota; Actinomycetes
Description: Actinobacteria bacterium partial 16S ribosomal RNA
Rfam family: Bacterial small subunit ribosomal RNA
Source: RNAcentral
UGGGGAAUAUUGGACAAUGGGCGCAAGCCUGAUCCAGCCAUGCCGCGUGAGUGAUGAAGGCCCUAGGGUUGUAAAGCUCUUUCACCGGUGAAGAUAAUGACGGUAACCGGAGAAGAAGCCCCGGCUAACUUCGUGCCAGCAGCCGCGGUAAUACGAAGGGGGCUAGCGUUGUUCGGAUUUACUGGGCGUAAAGCGCACGUAGGCGGACUUUUAAGUCAGGGGUGAAAUCCCGGGGCUCAACCCCGGAACUGCCUUUGAUACUGGAAGUCUUGAGGUUGGUAGAGGUGGAAGGAAUUCCGGGUGUAGAGGGGAAAUUCGGAAAUUUUCGGGGGAACAACAGUGGCGAAGGCGGCUCGCUGGACCAAUACUGACGCUGAGGUGCGAAAGCGUGGGGAGCAAACAGG